Molecule: non-coding RNA, 31 nt
Filed under: Rattus norvegicus (Norway rat)
Lineage: Eukaryota; Metazoa; Chordata; Mammalia; Rodentia; Muridae
Source: RNAcentral
UUAGUGCCUUAAAUCUAAGGGGUUACCCUCC